Molecule: unclassified non-coding RNA, 495 nt
Filed under: Allium drummondii
Lineage: Eukaryota; Viridiplantae; Streptophyta; Magnoliopsida; Asparagales; Amaryllidaceae
Description: partial external transcribed spacer
Source: RNAcentral
ACCCAACACUGGCACUGCCGUACACUCACCAACAACUACACCCGUGAUACAGUCCGAGGGGCGAAACAACGCCGGUUGACUGCUCAUGGUGUACGGAGAAAGUAAGGAUGCACAACUUGAAGUGAUCCAAACUACAACGGAAGCGCAUUUAACCGGGCCCAAGCCUUAUAUCACAGCCUACUACGGAUAAACAUGGCGGGGAGCAGAAGAGGUCCGCAAAUCCCCCAUGGUUCUACCUGCGAAGCCAUAAAACUAACGAAGCAACGCAACGGACAGUAAAAAUGGCGACUCACGAGGUUUCUAAAAUGCCCACAACACGUACGAUUUCUCAGAACCCUUCGGAAAGGAAGCGUGAGCAGCGAAUACAGAGCCAAAAAGGUGGCAGGGAGAAUCAUUUCCGGACGCGCACAGCACCGCACAGAACUCCUCCUUGUGCUGCGCAACAGCGCACCCGCAAAUUUUCCUGCACGAUGGACCAACUAGGACGGUCAUCAG